AUGUUGGCCGGGCGACGGUUGUCCCGGUUUAAGCGUGUAGGCUGGUUUUCCAGGCAAAUCCGGAAAACUAAGGCUGAGGCGUGAUGACGAGGCACUACGGUGCUGAAGCAACAAAUGCCCUGCUUCCAGGAAAAGCCUCUAAGCAUCAGGUAACAUCAAAUCGUACCCCAAACCGACACAGGUGGUCAGGUAGAGAAUACCAAGGCGCUUGAGAGAACUCGGGUGAAGGAACUAGGCAAAAUGGUGCCGUAACUUCGGGAGAAGGCACGCUGAUAUGUAGGUGAAGUCCCUCGCGGAUGGAGCUGAAAUCAGUCGAAGAUACCAGCUGGCUGCAACUGUUUAUUAAAAACACAGCACUGUGCAAACACGAAAGUGGACGUAUACGGUGUGACGCCUGCCCGGUGCCGGAAGGUUAAUUGAUGGGGUCAGCGCAAGCGAAGCUCUUGAUCGAAGCCCCGGUAAACGGCGGCCGUAACUAUAACGGUCCUAAGGUAGCGAAAUUCCUUGUCGGGUAAGUUCCGACCUGCACGAAUGGCGUAAUGAUGGCCAGGCUGUCUCCACCCGAGACUCAGUGAAAUUGAACUCGCUGUGAAGAUGCAGUGUACCCGCGGCAAGACGGAAAGACCCCGUGAACCUUUACUAUAGCUUGACACUGAACAUUGAGCCUUGAUGUGUAGGAUAGGUGGGAGGCUUUGAAGUGUGGACGCCAGUCUGCAUGGAGCCGACCUUGAAAUACCACCCUUUAAUGUUUGAUGUUCUAACGUUGACCCGUAAUCCGGGUUGCGGACAGUGUCUGGUGGGUAGUUUGACUGGGGCGGUCUCCUCCUAAAGAGUAACGGAGGAGCACGAAGGUUGGCUAAUCCUGGUCGGACAUCAGGAGGUUAGUGCAAUGGCAUAAGCCAGCUUGACUGCGAGCGUGACGGCGCGAGCAGGUGCGAAAGCAGGUCAUAGUGAUCCGGUGGUUCUGAAUGGAAGGGCCAUCGCUCAACGGAUAAAAGGUACUCCGGGGAUAACAGGCUGAUACCGCCCAAGAGUUCAUAUCGACGGCGGUGUUUGGCACCUCGAUGUCGGCUCAUCACAUCCUGGGGCUGAAGUAGGUCCCAAGGGUAUGGCUGUUCGCCAUUUAAAGUGGUACGCGAGCUGGGUUUAGAACGUCGUGAGACAGUUCGGUCCCUAUCUGCCGUGGGCGCUGGAGAACUGAGGGGGGCUGCUCCUAGUACGAGAGGACCGGAGUGGACGCAUCACUGGUGUUCGGGUUGUCAUGCCAAUGGCACUGCCCGGUAGCUAAAUGCGGAAGAGAUAAGUGCUGAAAGCAUCUAAGCACGAAACUUG
This 1332-nucleotide ribosomal RNA is filed under the name Escherichia coli. RNAcentral's name for it is "partial 23S ribosomal RNA". It matches the Rfam family "Bacterial large subunit ribosomal RNA", at positions 1484 to 2796 of the family's 2925-position model. The record is from RNAcentral. Lineage: Bacteria; Pseudomonadati; Pseudomonadota; Gammaproteobacteria; Enterobacterales; Enterobacteriaceae.